GACGGCCAGUGAAUUGUAAUACGACUCACUAUAGGGCGAAUUGGGCCCUCUAGAUGCAUGCUCGAGCGGCCGCCAGUGUGAUGGAUAUCUGCAGAAUUCGGCUUGUAACACCGGCAGCUCGAGUGGUGAUCAUUAUUAUUGGGCCUAAAGCGUCCGUAGCCGGUUUGAUAAGUCCUUGGGCAAAUCCUGCCGCUUAACGGUAGGAAUUCUAGGGAUACUGUCAGACUUGAGGCCGAGAGAGGUCGGAGGUACUUCUAGGGUAGCGGUGAAAUGCUAUAAUCCUAGUGGGACCACCAGUGGCGAAAGCGUCCGACCAGAGCGGGCCUGACGGUAAGGGACGAAAGCCAGGGGCGCGAACGGGAUUAGAUACCCCGGUAGUCCUGGCCGUAAACGCUGUGGGCUAGGUGUUGCAUGCUCUACGAGGGCGUGCAGUGCCGAAGAGAAGUUGAUAAGCCUACCGCCUGGGAAGUACUAUCGCAAGAU
This 483-nucleotide ribosomal RNA is filed under the name uncultured archaeon. RNAcentral's name for it is "bacterial SSU rRNA". It matches the Rfam family "Archaeal small subunit ribosomal RNA", at positions 377 to 849 of the family's 1478-position model. The record is from RNAcentral.